This 253-nucleotide ribosomal RNA is filed under the name uncultured bacterium. RNAcentral's name for it is "partial 16S ribosomal RNA". It matches the Rfam family "Bacterial small subunit ribosomal RNA", at positions 524 to 776 of the family's 1533-position model. The record is from RNAcentral.
UACGGAGGGUGCGAGCGUUGUCCGGAAUCACUGGGCGUAAAGGGCGCGUAGGCGGCUUGGGAAGUCCGUGGUGAAAGCCCGAGGCUCAACUUCGGGUCGGCCAUGGAUACUCCUGGGCUCGAGCACUGUAGAGGCAGGUGGAAUUCCGGGUGUAGCGGUGGAAUGCGUAGAGAUCCGGAAGAACACCGGUGGCGAAGGCGGCCUGCUGGGCAGUAGCUGACGCUGAGGCGCGACAGCGUGGGGAGCAAACAGG